This 6842-nucleotide long non-coding RNA is filed under the name Xyrichtys novacula (pearly razorfish). Lineage: Eukaryota; Metazoa; Chordata; Actinopteri; Labriformes; Labridae. The record is from RNAcentral.
GUAGGACCUGAGAAGCAAUAACAAGAGGGAGAGUGGGAGAGUAUCUUCUUUGAAAGUGAAAUGUCUCUCUCCUCCCUGCAGGUAAAUGUGACGGCACUAUGAGCAUGCACAUUUUUUGGAUGACGAUGAUGAAAGAGCGAUUCAAGUCUGCUGGAAGAUGAAAGAGAUGUCGGUGCUCCUCUCUGGUUUCAUUACUCACAAUUCGGGUGUCUUUUACAAACUCAUCUCCUCCUCUCCACCACUCCUCUCUUCCACCUUUUCAAUUCUUACCCAUCGCUGUUCAAACCCUGCUCAGCUGUCGGACCCCCCCUUCCCCCAUCCCCUCUCCACGGCUCAAUGGAGUCAUCUUCACCCUAAGACAUUCACUAAUAGGAUCACAAUGAUUCCAGUAGGACUUUGAUGGUGGAAAUUGAGACAAAUCGGUUGAAUUUCACAGAGGUUGUUGCGUUGUGCUGCCUUGCACUAACUGAUUUCCUGGUCCCAAAUCCCAUUCUCAGCAAUCUGGGUUGAAACAGAUAAAUGAAUGCUCUGCAAAGUAAAUUUUCACACACAUAUACUUCAUUAAACUGAAGGUCGCAGCUGUUUUGAUGUUUUUAUUUUGGUAGAUUUCACAGAUGCAGGAUUUGUCAAACACAUUAUCCCGUUUUUUCUUUCUUGUCACCACUGGCGCUAAAGACGGUCAUGCUGGGAGGAUUGAAGGGUUUGAAUAGGUCAGGUUUUAUGCCGUGCUAUUUCUCUCUGUUUGUUUGUUUUUGUUUCUUUGUAUUCUGUUGUUUUCAUCAAAUUCCAUCAUUAUAUUUUCCAGCAGGCUCGAAUCAUAUGUAGGUUGGCUUGUCUCUGUUGGUUUCUUUCAAAAAGGCUUUAGUGAUGAAUGGCUAUACUGAAUAAAUAAAUCUGACUUCUAACAACUAUCAAAUCUAGCUUUCAAGCACACUCUCUGUAGUUGUUUUGAAUAUGCAAUAUUCAGCCACCCUUGCACAUCAUGCUUGUCAAACCCAGAGAACAUUUUUUUCUAUGGAGAAAUAUGGUUUAAAGUAAGGGUUUGAUGGAUUUGAAACUUCAGAAUGUGAGGACUUCUUUCUGCAAUAAUAAAGAAAAAAAUCGAUGAAGUAUUUAUCAGUUACACAUGAAUGCCAAAUGACAGAUAGGAAAAACAAAUUAGAGAGAACAAGGCUCAGGAGUGAGAGUCUAACCUGAUGCUGUUACACCGUUAUUCAUCCUGAUUGACUGUCUGACAGGGUUGAUAACCUCGUCUCUUCUCCAUCUGUCAACAGCCAUCCUCCUCAUGUGAACCACUUUCUUCUGGGAGGAGAAAAAAAAGGAGACAACAGAGGACUGGAGCAAAACAGAAUAGGAAAGAAGUCACCGACAGCUCUCAAAACAUCAACAUCUGCGGGGUCUAUUUCACGGAUAGUAAAGCGUCAAAGACGUGCAGGAUGACAAUGACAACUACAGGUCUGACCACAGACAUGUUCUCAUAAAUCCUUCAGGAAACAAGUGUUUGCAGGAAGAAUGAUAUCCUGGAGUCUAUGACCUGUGUGUAAAGUUUUGAAUAAGAUGAAUGAAAGUCAAGGGAUAUGAGUCCUUAUACUUAAAUACUGUGUACUAGUGCUCCUUAAACAGAGCUUUUGCUAUAACUGCUUCGACUAAUUAAACUCUUUAAUCCACCUGACAGCAGUUUACUGUAUUAGAUUUGACAUAUUGCUAAUGCAUUUGCAUCGCUACAACCUCAGUCUAAUUAGCGACUUCAGUAGGGACUCGUUACUGAUUUUUUUUGACGAAACACCACCAAGUACCAAACCCUGUUUCAGUCUCUUUAAACUCCCAGUGAAGAUAUGGCUCCGCUCUGCCCUUCUGCUAGUCUCAAAUUUUGUUUCUCCUGCUAUUCAGAGUUUGGCAGGUAGUGCACAACAGAAAUUGGAAAUCAGUGCAGAGGAAAUAAUUCAAUAUAGUUAAAAUUCCCAUAACUAGCGAGGAAGUUUAUGAGAAAUCAUAUAAAAUCAGGUGUCUAAGGUCAAAGCUGAUUUAAAGGUAAAAGGGAAAGGUUAACAAAUUGAUUUUCAAAUUAUUUCUUGAACCAAAACAUGAUUCAGUUAAACAGCUGUAAAAAUAGUCCCUAAAUUUAGUAACACUUCCAUGGUAAUGGAACCUUAGCAGACCUCUUGUGGCACAAAUCAGGCCUGGUUCCCUAAAGCAUGCAUUGCACCUUCCAUCCGAGAUCAUGACAGGUGAAUGCAGUCUGCAGGGUAUCCAGAGUUGUCGAAAGUAUCAAUACUUAAACGCCAUAUCUGGAUACCAUACUAAUUUGCCAUGGUAUCGAUACUAAAAGUGUACUUGCCCACAGCGCCCACCCAGCGCACUCCGCAAGCAGCGCAGCCGACCCGGCAGACAGCAUCCGCCCAGCAGGCCGGUAGUCAGGAGAGCCCCCACUUGCUGUCCCAAUGUUUUAUUGCUACUAAGUAUGGCCAGUGUUUCAAAGUGGUGGCGACAAAGUCAAGUAGCACGACUAAUUUAGCAAAACACCCUAAGGACCAGCACCCUGGCCUUCAUGACAAAUUCCUGCAGGUUAUUAAAGUUCCUGUUCAUCCUUUACCUUACUGUAUUAAACUGAAUAAUUAUGUAAGUCUGGGCAGUGGCCAGCAUUAAUCCGCUGUAGCCGCGGUUAACUUUAUGCUCAGUGAAUUUUGUUUGUUUUGUUAUUAGCCAUUAGCAGUGGGCCCACUGUUAGUAGCCUUUGGCUCCCUAACGUGACUCUAGCGCGUUUUCUUCUCUUAAAGAUGCAGACUGAAGCAGGGAGAAGUUGAUCUGCAACUAAACCGAGAAACCACAACCUACUCUUCCACUGCUAUUAGAAAAACAGAGAAAGUAUGACCCAAAGUCUCCUGAAGCUGUCAAAACAAAUAGAGCUGUAGCAGAGUAUAUCUGUGAGGACCAACUACCCAUUAACACAGUGGAGAAACCUGGGUUUGAAGUGAAAAAGUGAUUGUCUUGUUUUUCAUAUAUUUAUUUUUUUCAUUUUCCUAUUAUUUAAAAAUUUUAGUUAAUUGGUCAUAUAUAUGCCAUUCCAUUUUUUAUGUUAAUAAAAAUAUUUUUUAUGCCUUUUAAAGUAUUUGUCAUUUUUAAUCCCCCUGGUAUCGAAAAUGGUAUUGGGUAUGGGUAUUGAUAUCGAGUUUAAAAUUUUAGUAUUGUGACAACCCUAAUGCAGUCUGUCCUACUCCUAGACUUCAUCAGUACUACUAGCUAUUUACUGAAUUGCUAAAUUCAUUAGCUAUUCUGAGAGCAUACCAGGUGCCAAAAAUCAAACUGUGAGAGCCAUAGUACAAAGUGCUCCAUAACUUUUGACAUCUCUCUCUACAUCUCGGAUCUUUAAAGUUAGUCCAGUCACGAGUCCUCAGGAUCAGGAGACAGACUUAAGUCCCAGUCCUUAACUCGAGUACUACAACAGUACUCACCUCAACUUUGUGCAGACUUCUACUAAGGGGGCUGAAUAUAAACGAAGAGUGAACAGAUUGAGUCUUUUGUGCUAACACAUGCAUCCCACCUGAACUGAGUCUGGAAAUCCCAGAGAGUGCAGCGUAUGUGUCAGAAGGGUUUCAGAAUCUCCAGGGACUGCAUGAAGCCGACUUUAUUGUUCACAAAUGCAUGCAGUGUUGAGUCUAAAGUAUGUAUGACAAGCUCCUGUGAUUAUUCUGCACAUCACCUUUACACUCUACAUCAGGAAACAGCUUUUAUCGACGGAUCAUUUCAUAAGCUGUUUCUCUAAACGACCCCGGUCUUUCAAGGCAUGUUAUCCUCUAUUAGCCCUACGUUACACUAUUCACUGGUGGCUCUUAAUUAAACAUGAUCAGCAAGGGCUAAGUCUCCAUUUCUGUCUUGAUAAGCCAUGAGAGCUCUCCAAGGGUAAAGCCAGAGCUAACAUGCAGCGUGUGGGGGGGAUUACGAUUGGUUUUAAGUCUCACUUCAUUCCUGCUGCCCUUGUUCGUCCUCAGCAGUCUGUCCUUAGCAGGCUGAGAUGCCCCAGUGAGCUGAAGUAACAUGCAUUUAUAUCACCGAUGUGGCUGUUAGAGCUCUCCAGAGUUUUCAUCUCACCGCAGCCAAAGAAACUGACACUUUAAGCUGCGUUGCAAUUAACGGGCUCACAUUUGGGCAGGGCCUCCAAGAGGACCAUUACCAUAUGCUAAUUUGGCAACUGAAGGCUUAUUGAAUUACUUAAGGGGUUGAACUAUGUAUAAGUUUUAUUACUGCUAUGGCAGAUGCUUAAUGACCCUCAACAAUGAUAAAAUAUUUUAUAAUGAUCAAACUCUGAGAACUGCAGGCAGGACUGCUGUGAGAUGGUUGGGAGGAGAGAAAUAAUUUAACAGCCCUCUGUCUGUACGGGGCUCAGAGACAUUUUUCAUAAAGAAACUUCAUAAAGAAGAAAAUUGUGUUAUCCAUGCACACGUUGCAUGUUUUACAAGGGCCUGAAAUUCCUAUCAGGAUUACUGACUGACAGACUGAGGCAGCAGGAAUGUUUUAAUAUUGAGAGCAGUAGAUGUGUUUUUUAAAAUAUUCAAUACUUCUAAUUAAAAUAGUCCAUUAUGUAUGCUGAAAACAUACCAAGGUCCCAGAACAAUACCAUGGUCCUGAAUGUUACACCUGCUCUUGUAUUGCAUUACUUUAAUGCCAGCUAGGAAAGAUAAAGCCAUUUUAAUCAUGAUGGAUUUCUGUCUGAUGUGAAAACUUUGUGUCUACAACAAUUCAGUUAUCAUUAAUGCUACAUUUUCAGCAUAAGCUCAUUCACUAUUGCCAUCUAAUUAGAUUAUAUUAGAGAUAUUCUCAGUGUCACAGUGUAAAAGAAUACUUUUUUGUCAAAGCUAAUGCUUCUAUAAGAGCUCAGUGCUCCAAACGGCUCUCUCUUACUGAAAAGACCAUCAAAAUCUCUUUGGUAGGUAGACAAAUCACUUCAAUGGCUUUCAUCUCCAUUUAUGAAAUUACCCUUUUAACUUAAGUGCUCUGAUGAAUUUGCUAAAAACUGAUCAUACUGUUCUGGAGAUGUAAUUUUCUUCUUUUCUUUUUUGUCCUUCUCCUAAUGUAACUGUAAUUCUGCUAACACUUCUCAGUAAAAUUUCCAGUAAAUUACUUGGAGCGCUGCCUUGAAUUGCAGUUCUAAGCUUGGCUGACCUUAGAUAAACAAGUGGUGAUCAAAAAUUAAGGAAAAUAACCUGUCUUUUGAAUAUUAUCAACAUAAAUCUAAUAGUUAUUAACAUUUUAAGCAGUCAUUUAAUUCAAAUGUGUUGCUUUCAUAUUUCUUAGGCAGUUGUUAGUUAGCCAUUCCACUUGUUUUUAAAGGAUUCAAGUCCAAAAACAAAUCAAAUUUAAUGACAAUAACUCAAUAAAGGAGGUUUGAUAAUCCAUCUGAUUUUGGAGAUUAAGUAGCCACUGUCACCAAGAUUUAACUUCCACGUGUAAUUAUUGUUGCAAAGUAUUUGACAUUAUCAGCUCUGUACCUGUGUUUAUAUUAUGUACUUGCAAAUAGAAGCAUAGCUGACUGUUUUAACAUUGAUGCCUGUUAAACAUCUGCAUUGUCAGAGUGCAUGUCAUCAUGCUUGCAAUAGCUUUAGCUUACGCCAACUAUCAAAUGAGCAUAAAGCAGCCCCAGCAAAAAAAAAAAAAAACUUUCAUUGUAAGCUAGCAAGCUAACAUACCCAAGUGUAAAAAGUAACACGUAUCUGGCUUGACUUUGCUGUUCAACAGCUCCUCGGCCUUCAUGGAUGGAGUCACAGUCUUGAAUUUUAGCAAAAGAAGAUUAGAUAACUAUGUGGUUUAUUUUUGUAGCACUUAAAUUACAGGUUGAUGAGGAUGAAGUGUAAAUACCAUAGACUGUAUAUAGAAUGGACGCCGUCUGCCUCCUCGCUGGGUGAAGCCACUCCGAGAACAGCACCCUCUGUUGACGGGCUGCAGUAUAGGUCAUAAAUCCUGCCUCCGCCAGCAAAGCUUAUGGGGCUGUGGACAAACUUUAGAAAUUUAUUACUCAGAAUAUAAAUUUAUCUCCCUCCUGCUUGCGAUGUUGACAUGUAGUUACAGUAAGACUGGUUUGUGCUCAAGUCCUCUUUUUUCUGUUUAGCUCCAUUUGUAAAAGUUAUUCAGGAGUUCAUGUGUUCUAUGAUUGACACUUGAGACAGCAUAUUGGCGAUCAAGGAUUGCGUAGCUGUUUGUACGCUGUUUGAGCCGAGCGUCAUCACAGCGACUCUCGGCGACUCUCCGGCCAAAUGCAUACAACGGUACUAAGCAAUGCUGGUUUGAGGAAAUGAAGUAAAAUUGCGGAAAUAGCAAGAGCUUUUUGGCUUCAAAUCCGUAUACUGGCAGGAGGCGGAACCAGGUUGUCCAUAGUAUAUACAGUCUAUGGUAAAUACUGGAAUAAACUGAACUGACUGGUGAUAGAAUUUUCAAGUUUGAUGAGGAGAUUUUUACCCCUGAAUUUGCACAGGUUAAACUAUUCUUUUUUCGCUUAAUGAUCAACAAUUUGACCUGUCCAUCACCCUGGUUGUACGUCUUUAAGACUGAAUAAAAUUAAGCGUUGUUAUGGAUUGCAUGUUAUCAUGCUAAUAUUUGCAAUUAGGGCCCGGCACUCUCUCCCGACAUCUCUGGCUUACUAAUGAAAAUAUUACAACCCCCAUGUCUAAGUAACUCACCUAGUAUGGCUGUAGAGUCUCGCUCACAUAACUCUUGGCAAGUUAGCAAAUACUAGCUAUCUAGUAUAUAUACUGUAGAUAGUAACUCUGAAAAUGUACUAGACUGACUCUGCUAUUCAACAUUUGCCAUUGCUAAGCCAGCACACUAAUGUUAGCAUUUACCUGAAAGCA